UGUUGUUGUUCAAGAAGAAGACCACCACAAUUUGGUUGCGGGAAAUAUUUUUUAUUUUCUAAAUUAAUGAAAGACCGUUUAACUUCACGACCACCUUAAAUUAUUCGGAGGUACCGAAAAGCAAAAGCGGCGUUUCUCCUAAAGCAGAAUGCAUCCGUCUGGAGAACUCACCUCAGCGGAUUUGUUAUGGACUGCGCUACUGCAUUAUUCGGCUGCUUUACAAACUAGCACGUAAACUUGGAAAAUAGCUCAAUAGCUAGCUAGCCAAACUACGUAUGUCGAUUGUCAUUAAAUCCUUCUAACGCGACAUUGGCUGAUAUUUCGAGCGGUUUCAGUUAAACGUUAUAUGAAGACUUGACGGAAAGUUCACUUGCAACCCAAGUGAGAAAACUAGUUGUAGCUGGUGUAUGCUAGGGGGCUCUUAAAAUUAAACCUGUCGGAGCUAGUGCUUAACUUACUUGAUUUAAGCCUUUACCCCACGAACUAGCUAGAGGAGUUUUGUAAACUAUGUCCGACGUUCAAAUCUUUUAACUUAAAAGAAAAUGCGAUAGAAUAGGGACAACGGGAAAUAAGUCCCGUUCCCGUUAUCUGACGGCUUUAAAAUUGGAUCGAACACUUUGGCGUGUGGCCUGCUGGUCAGGCUUUAGCCGCGUUAGAUUUGGGGUUCACGCCGCUGUAGAGAGCGCUCAAUCCGGCUGCCUGUAAAAAUCAUACUCCGGUUUGUUGACGAACCAUGGAAAGAAUGGAAGUAGACCAGUGCGCAGGCGCAGCUGGUGGGAGCGGGGGCGGGGCUCUUCGAAGGUCGAAUAGCGCCCCUAUGAUCACAAAUGUCAGUGAUGCAAUGACAGUAUUCAACUCUAACAGUUCAGCUCGGUAUCGUCGGAGCAGUGUGUCCAUCAAUCCUAGCUGUCCCUCCAGGACCCUCCCUCCUUCUCCAUUCUCCUUGUCCAGUGAGAGGCCGGAUCACAGGAGGCAGAUGGACAAUAUGGAACUGACUCUCAGAGGGAGUUUACAGAGACUAAGUGCCUCAACUACAGUCCCCUUACCUCCUGCCGGUCACUGGCAUGAGCAUCUUUCACCAGGAUUCUAUUCCCAAGACUCUGGUGUCACUCCUAAUUCUUCCCCCAGUCCAACUAGAAGGUUUCGGGGAGGGUCGGUGAGUUCUGCUGUGAGAUGGCCGGUGGUAGCACCUUUGAAAAGGAAAGGGGGAGUGGAGUCCGACGGCCCUCCUAAAAAACUCUUUGUGGCUGGAGUUACAGAUCCAGCCCACAUAACUAGCUGUACUGUCAGUGUUCCCCAGUGUGUGGACUCCGUACCUGUUUGUUCAAGCCCUCAGAACAGCCCACUCUCACUCUCGCCUCCUCCAUCCUUCACGUCCCACCACCCCAGUAUCUAG
Molecule: long non-coding RNA, 1396 nt
Organism: Electrophorus electricus (electric eel)
Lineage: Eukaryota; Metazoa; Chordata; Actinopteri; Gymnotiformes; Gymnotidae
Source: Ensembl